Molecule: ribosomal RNA, 301 nt
Filed under: uncultured bacterium
Lineage: Bacteria
Description: partial 16S ribosomal RNA
Rfam family: Bacterial small subunit ribosomal RNA
Source: RNAcentral
CAGCCGCCACGGUAAUACGGAGGGGGCUAGUGUUGUUCGGAAUUACUGGGCGUAAAGCGCACGUAGGCGGCAUGGUAAGUUAGAGGUGAAAGCCUGGAGCUCAACUCCAGAAUUGCCUUUAAGACUGCCGAGCUAGCAGGUGAGAGAGGUAAGUGGAAUUCCGAGUGUAGAGGUGAAAUUCGUAGAUAUUCGGAAGAACACCAGUGGCGAAGGCGGCUUACUGGCUCAUACUGGACGCUGAGGUGCGAAAGCGUGGGGAGCAAACAGGAUUAGAUACCCGUGUAGUCCCUGUCUCUUAUAC